RNAcentral lists this unclassified non-coding RNA (280 nucleotides) under uncultured fungus. Its description in RNAcentral is "sequence contains ITS1, 5.8S rRNA gene". The stretch from base 232 to 280 matches the Rfam family "5.8S ribosomal RNA", at positions 1 to 49 of the family's 154-position model. The record is from RNAcentral. Lineage: Eukaryota; Fungi.
UCUCCGUAGGUGAACCUGCGGAGGGAUCAUUACGGUUUGGAACGCCUGGGGUGAAAAGACGCGCCGCGGGACCCUUCGGGGUGCCGGGGCGUGGCCCCAGGUCCUCCACUCUCACCCUUUGUGUUAUCGACCCUGUUGCUUCGGGGGCCACCCCGCUCGUCGGGGGCCCCCGGUGGCACACCAACCAAAACUCGUGUAUCAUCGCGUCCGAGUCGUAUACCAAUUAUACAAAACUUUCAACAACGGAUCUCUUGGUUCUGGCAUCGAUGAAGAACGCAGC